AGCAGGAACCCUAAAUGACAGAUGGUUUCCUGUCCACUUAGCAGGCUGAGGGUCCGCCUGGAAGAUGCCAAGGCGAUGGGCUUGUUGCCGUCCUGAGUUUGCAGGCCGAGGCUCACGCUGCUCUGCCAACACUCACAUACAGUAUCCGCAUCAAAGGCUCAGUGUGGUCAGUGAAGGAGAAAGCCCCUGUGCGGGCACCUGCAGAGGCGCCCACCCUGCCCAGGGGCCUCUGGGGACGCAGCGACUCACUGACCAGUGAGCGCAGAUGGGCGACUGCACCUCUCUGCUUCAGCUCUUCAUGGCCAGAUGGGAGGACAAUCCCCACCUUGCAAGGUGGCAUCAAGGACUGAGAAAGAACCAGCACCAGGCCUGGCCCCAUGAGCGCUGCUGGGUCUGGAUCCAGGCGCCGUCCACCUUCCACCUGGCAGCACUAAUGCUUCCUCCCCGGCUGCACUGGCCCUUAUCUGGGGGUCAGGAACUCACGUGCUGAAUAAAGAGCAACUCUUUUCCAGA
Molecule: long non-coding RNA, 513 nt
Filed under: Pongo abelii (Sumatran orangutan)
Lineage: Eukaryota; Metazoa; Chordata; Mammalia; Primates; Hominidae
Description: lincRNA
Source: RNAcentral